UACGUAGGUGGCAAGCGUUGUCCGGAAUUACUGGGUGUAAAGGGAGCGCAGGCGGGAAGCCAAGUCAGCUGUGAAAGCUACGGGCUUAACUUGUAGACUGCAGUUGAAACUGGUUUUCUUGAGUGAAGUAGAGGUUGGCGGAAUUCCGAGUGUAGCGGUGAAAUGCGUAGAUAUUCGGAGGAACACCGGUGGCGAAGGCGGCCAACUGGGCUUUAACUGACGCUGAGGCUCGAAAGUGUGGGGAGCAAACAGG
This 253-nucleotide ribosomal RNA is filed under the name uncultured bacterium. RNAcentral's name for it is "partial 16S ribosomal RNA". It matches the Rfam family "Bacterial small subunit ribosomal RNA", at positions 524 to 776 of the family's 1533-position model. The record is from RNAcentral.